AAGUCGUAACAAGGUUUCCGUAGGUGAACCUGCGGAAGGAUCAUUAUUGAAUAUUCCUGAUGAGUUGUAGCUGGCUCUUUGGAGCAUGUGCACGCUUGUCUUGAUCUUAUUCAUCCACCUGUGCACAUUUUGUAGUCUUUUGGGCUGAGUCGAGUAUCGGAUGGAUGUCUAUCCGGAUGUGAGGACUGCUGAGUGCGAAAGCAUACGGCUCUUCUCUGUUUGACCUCACCCUUGAGUACUAUGUAUUCAUAUACCACAUCACAUAGUAUGUUGUAGAAUGUGAUCAUUGGGCCUUUGUGCCUAUAAUAAUCAUAUACAACUUUCAGCAACGGAUCUCUUGGCUCUC
Molecule: unclassified non-coding RNA, 346 nt
Filed under: Apioperdon pyriforme
Lineage: Eukaryota; Fungi; Basidiomycota; Agaricomycetes; Agaricales; Lycoperdaceae
Description: Lycoperdon pyriforme partial internal transcribed spacer region
Rfam family: Eukaryotic small subunit ribosomal RNA (bases 1-46)
Source: RNAcentral